GGAGGCGUCGCCUAGUCCGGUCUAUGGCGCCGCACUGCUAAUGCGGUUGGGGCCCUAAGCCCCUCGAGGGUUCAAAUCCCUCCGCCUCCG
Molecule: transfer RNA, 90 nt
Filed under: Actinomycetes bacterium
Lineage: Bacteria; Bacillati; Actinomycetota; Actinomycetes
Description: tRNA-Ser
Rfam family: tRNA
About the family: Transfer RNA (tRNA) molecules are approximately 80 nucleotides in length. Their secondary structure includes four short double-helical elements and three loops (D, anti-codon, and T loops).
Source: RNAcentral